UUCGGGGGCAGAGUGACAGGUGGUGCAUGGUUGUCGUCAGCUCGUGUCGUGAGAUGUUGGGUUAAGUCCCGCAACGAGCGCAACCCUUGAUCUUAGUUGCCAGCAUUCAGUUGGGCACUCUAAGGUGACUGCCGGUGACAAACCGGAGGAAGGUGGGGAUGACGUCAAAUCAUCAUGCCCCUUAUGACCUGGGCUACACACGUGCUACAAUGGACAGAACAAAGGGCAGCGAAACCGCGAGGUUAAGCCAAUCCCACAAAUCUGUUCUCAGUUCGGAUCGCAGUCUGCAACUCGACUGCGUGAAGCUGGAAUCGCUAGUAAUCGCGGAUCAGCAUGCCGCGGUGAAUACGUUCCCGGGUCUUGUACACACCGAGA
RNAcentral lists this ribosomal RNA (375 nucleotides) under Bacillus subtilis. RNAcentral describes it as "bacterial SSU rRNA". It matches the Rfam family "Bacterial small subunit ribosomal RNA", at positions 1019 to 1395 of the family's 1533-position model. The record is from RNAcentral. Lineage: Bacteria; Bacillati; Bacillota; Bacilli; Caryophanales; Bacillaceae.